Molecule: long non-coding RNA, 431 nt
Filed under: Vigna radiata
Lineage: Eukaryota; Viridiplantae; Streptophyta; Magnoliopsida; Fabales; Fabaceae
Description: long non-coding RNA (VRAD_LNC009141)
Source: RNAcentral
GGCAUAUCCAACUAUUCCAAUCCGCAUCGGAAUGCUCUCCCUCAGAAACGUCUCAGCUUGUUUAGUCUCUUCCUUUCUAUCAGCAGUCACUGUUCCAGUAAGAACACAACCUCCACAUUAGAUAUAAUAUAUUAUUAUUAUUACUGUUAUCAUCAUCAUCAUCAUCAUAAUUGAAAAAUAAAAGUGUAGUCACUGUUGCAAUAAGAAUAUGAUCUCAUCAUUAGAUAUAAUAUAUUGUUAUUAUUAUUAUCUUCAUCAUCAUCAUAAUUGGAAAAUAAAAUAGAAACAAACUCAAGUAUGUGAAUUUGACGGAUCUUACCAUUUUUAUUGUUCUUGCUCUUUAUUCUGUCAUGGACAUUGAGGACUGUGCAAAUUAGAAUCUUGGUGAAGUUGUAUAUGCCAUCACCGAGGAUUAGAGCGAUUGAUAGAAA